GUGUGGAUAGGAAGUAGCAGGUUAUAGACCAGAAAUGAGGGUAUUUUAUAUUGACUGUUUUCUGUUUCCAUCUUAACAUAUAAUGUCUAUGUUUCCACAGGAGAAUCAACAGAAGUGUAAAUGACAUGGAUGGCAGCACUGCACAACAACAGGUGGAGCUGAUUCCAUGCUGAUGUUACAGGUGAAUGGAGGAUUGUGGAACCACUCAGCCGUGACAGCAAACAUGGACUCCUCAGAAAAGUCCAUGCAGAGUGGCCACGCCCCCCUGGACAUUAAAACCAUGAGCUGAUCUAGUUUCCAUCAUCUGGUCUAGACCCAUCACUUCUACAGACAACAGACAGAAUAAAGCUCAGAGUCAACAUGGGAUGCA
Molecule: long non-coding RNA, 370 nt
Filed under: Gouania willdenowi (blunt-snouted clingfish)
Lineage: Eukaryota; Metazoa; Chordata; Actinopteri; Blenniiformes; Gobiesocidae
Description: lncRNA (ENSGWIG00000013887.1)
Source: RNAcentral